GGUUUUGUAGUGUAGCGGUUAUCACUCCGGAUUCUGAUCACAGUAUUAGAAGUUUUCCGGCAACCCCGGUUCGAUUCCGGGCAAGACCU
Molecule: transfer RNA, 89 nt
Organism: Pyrenophora tritici-repentis Pt-1C-BFP
Lineage: Eukaryota; Fungi; Ascomycota; Dothideomycetes; Pleosporales; Pleosporaceae
Rfam family: tRNA
About the family: Transfer RNA (tRNA) molecules are approximately 80 nucleotides in length.
Source: Rfam